AGCAAUAUUUUGGAGGAUCUAAGGUCUUAGCUUGUGUAUGGUCCAGAUUUCACUGAGCACCCAAGUAUAAAUAAGUCUUAUAACUUUCUAACGGAAACUUAAUGACUUCAACUUAAGUUGCAUACUGACCUAGGAUUUGGGCUGACUUAGUAAUUGAAACUUUGUGUGCUUUUAAAAUUUUUGGCACUUAUGCAUUUGAAAUUAAAAUUUACGUAACGAUAAAUUCUUUAGGUAGCGACUGUAGUUUGUGGGUAUCUGAGCCGGAAACCCUCACGAGACAAAACUCGUCCACUAGGGCCACCUAGGGUUAAAGCCUUAUUGCAUACGGUAAAUGCAAUCGCGAUUCCUGCGAAAGUGAGUUAGUUUUUUUUUAUUUUAUUUUGCUCGAGGACUAGCAAAAUAUAGGUUGGGGGGUGUGAUAAGUGCUAAAUAAUGCAUAAAGUAACCUCUUUCUCAUAGCACUUAUCAUUAUUUUUAAACAUAAGAAAAUUCAUUCCCCAUCAUCAUUGCAUUUUAAUAAAUUAUAAGAGGUAAUUCGAGUUGAUUUGAUUAUUUAAUGAUUAAGCCUAAUGAAUGCAGGUCAAGUCAAACUUAUUUGGGAUGAUCCUUGAACCCAAAUCGCAUGCAGCCCCGCAAGUCAAGACCCUCUCAGAUUCAUCCCAAUUCCCUUGUUUCUUUCCCAUAUUUGGCUCAACAAAACUUCCCUGCGUCACAUCUUAGUCACCUAAUUUUCUUCCUACACAUGCUCCCAGCCAAAUAGGAUUAAUUCCAUCUUUCCAGCCAAACCAAAUUAGAAUCUUCAAACAAGCCACAUCAUCAUGCAAAUCCCCCUUCAUUCCAUCUCAACUUCGUGUCCUUCCCAGCUCCCGUGUCCAUAACCUUUGGAACAAAGCCGUGUGCCCCUUCCUGGUUCGAAGCCUUCAUUCGGACCCAAAACAGAACAAGGAACAGAGCCGCGGAUCUUCUUCUUCCAACUCCAUCCGCAAAUCCCUCCUUAGCUUCAUCUUCCCGAAUCUCCCAACGUCCAGCUUCAUCUUCUCGAAUCUCCCAACGUCCCAGCAACCACCCUUUUCUUCUGGACUCCCAGCUUCAACCGUGAAAAUCUUCAUCCCAUCCGCAUCCAGCACUCCAUCCUAUCCUCCUCAUCCUCCCGAAUCAUCUGCGAUCAAUCUUCAUCCAUCAGCCAUUCACAUAUCAUCUCUCAACGACCACGGUCUUCCCCUGUUUCGGAACAACUUCCUCCCAGCAUCCCGUCCGAGUCUCCUGUAGAUAGCACAGAUCUCUUCCCGAUCAUGAACGAGUCCCAGCCAUCUUCCGAACUGAUCCCAGCCAAAUUUCUUAGCCUCCCGCAUCCGAGGAUCCCGUGGCCAGCAUCUGGAUCAGCUGCCAGCUCCUCUGUUCCCAGCGGAACAAAUCUUAUCCCGUUUACAAAUCCACACCAUUCCCUGUUACUAGCCGAAUCCAGCCAUUCCCGAGCUUCAUCUCUUCCGAAUUCCUCUGCAUCCGUCCUAGCUCCCCUGUUCCAACAUCAUCCUUAUCCCGAGUCCCAACUUCCUCCCAUCUUCUCCGUGAUCCUCUUCCUCCGAGAUCUUCUCAAAUGCCCACAGUACCUUCACUCCCUGAUGUUCAUCUAACACCCGAGUUGCCGAAUCCCGUGGAUCAUCACCUGUUCCCAGCUGAAGGAAUCCUCCGAUUCGAAGCAUCCGUGAUCAUCUCCCAGCAUCUCGUGCUUGCCCCUGCCGUCCACAGAUUCAGCCAUCCAGCCAAGAUUUUCUCCGCAUCACCAGCAUCCCAGCUCGUUCCAGCAGCCACGGAUAGACUUAGA
This 1825-nucleotide long non-coding RNA is filed under the name Phoenix dactylifera (date palm). RNAcentral describes it as "long non-coding RNA (PDAC_LNC007505)". The record is from RNAcentral. Lineage: Eukaryota; Viridiplantae; Streptophyta; Magnoliopsida; Arecales; Arecaceae.